UUACCUCCUAUAAAAGCCGCCCGCCUCCGUCUCUCCCCCGCACUCCAUCUCCAUCGCCUCGCCGCCGUUCCCCGCAACCUGUCGACCCAAUCUCAAUCUCACAUCACCUACAUCGUCCUCUCCAGAUCUUACGCCCGCCCCGCCCGAGCUGGUAGCGGCAACUCUUCUGCUGCAGUCCGCCAAAAGGAAAUGACGAAGCUCUACAAAAUCCACUCCCAUGCCCACAUCCAAGCCCUGCAGGCCCGCGCCGAUGAGCUGGGCCACUCCAAUAAGUCCAUGCUUGUGAAUGUUGUCUCUCUGGAGUCGGUGCGCAUAGCGCGCGAGUCGUAUGCACUCCUCCGCCCGCUGAUCAAGGAUUCGUGGAUCUGGGCAUGCUCGCGGAGCUGGAAAACCUCUCGGUCGUGGCAGGCUUGUCGCUGGAAAUCCAAAAGCUCGAGCAUGAUGUGUUACCCCAGCUCAUGGUUCAGGAGGCCAAGCUGGAACGGGGCGCCCUGGAAGCCCUCCUGCUCAUGCAGAACUCAGCAAUUACGCUCUUAGAUCUGAGGAAGUGCUUUAUCUUAGCCUUGGGCGUAUUGCUUGCCGAUGAGGAUCUGGUCUCAGCCCGAGUCAAAAAGCUGAGCAUAAUGCUAAAGGAUACUGCUGAUGAUGUACUCAAAGGUAAUUGCGACAUUGUCUGGCUUCAGGAGCGUGCCCCGUUGCUGCUCCAGCUGGUCACCGAUGUGUUGGAGACCCCGGUUUGUUUAUGUGAUCCUGAUGAGUUUCUGUGAUGAGUAGACUUAUCAGCCAGCUCGAGGCUGUUGUGAUGAGUAUUUCUUAGGGGCGUGGCAAACAGUUUAGAAUCAACCCUUUAUGUUUGGAUGUGUUAUUAAUGGAUUUUAAAUGAUAUGUAUCUUGUGUAGUGUUUUCUCAUUCUGUGCUAGUAGGGUACAACUUGCAAUUACUUUCAGUUCCUAAAUACAAGUCUUUUAAGAGGUUUCACUAAAAGACUACUUAGGGAUGAAUGAAUAUAGACAUACUUUAGAACGUGGAUUCACUCAUUUUGCUCCGUACGUGAGUUUCCUAGUGAAAUCUCUUCUUAAAAGACUUGUAUAUUUAGGAAGGAACGGAGGGAGUAGUGCUUAUCUGUGAGUGUCCAUGAUUAAAGCUUUGCAAAUACCAUAAACAAAGCAUCACCUUGUACUUGAAGCUGAAUUGAAUUGAAAUGUGAUUAGCCUUCCACUAGCCAGCCAAGGAGGAAGGAGCCCACCGUUCCAUCCUCCCUAUCUCCAUUUCCUCUGUCGCGCCCACCUCCCUCUUCUCCUGACACGCAGAUCUAGUUGAGGACUGCGGCAGAUCUAGUUGCGUCCGUCGUCGCGCAACAACCCUAGCCACGACGAGCUCCACCACCGUGCGGUCCGGGAGCCACGCCGCAGCAGCGCACCCCCUGGCCACAGCCCUAUGCGCAGACGUACAACGCCUCCCUCCGGCCCAGAACGCAAUCCGACGCCGCAGUCCGCGCCCAGCGAGAGGCGUUCUCCGUGCGAUGCUGCUGCUGCUGUAGGCGUCCCCUCACCCCCGUCCUCUCCCCCAUCUGGUGUGCAGUGCAACACCAACGUCUCUUCUCCUCUGACUCGUGUUUUUUUGCAGCAGUGAUUUCUCAUUGUGUCCUCUGACUCGUUUCUUAUUGCAGCAGUGAUUUUAUUGGCCUAGUGAUUUGUUGGUGAAGCUGGCACACAGGCAAGUAUCUACUUAGCUUCGCCGUGUUCUCAGUUGCUGAUGCUUUGCUGUAUCAACUCUGGGUGGCUAGUGAUGGCAGCAUGCAAAUGAUAUCUACUUGUCUCAUCUCGCUUGGUCCAUUGGAGUACACAAGUAUGGUUGAGAUUCUCCUCAAAGUGCAGCUUCACAUCUUGAAUGCAUAUGGUGUUAGAUUGUUACUAGUAUUGGGACUGAGUGUUUUUCUACGCUAUUAAUACUAAACCUAGCUAUCGUGCAAAUGAUUCAAAUCAUCCUGAAAUGAGUACAACCGAUUCUGCUAUAGUCUAACAGAGGUUAUUGGCUUUUUCUUUUUGGUGUUGGACACACAUAAUUGCUACCAAAUUACUAAUAACUUGACUGACUAAAGAUAUUAAAUUACUUAAUUAGUGAUAUUAAAUUUCUUAACUAGUGACAUUAAACUUGCCUGACUAAAGGUAUCAAAUUUGGCCUGUUUCCUAGUGAAUUAAGGCUAUCUUUUCAGAUAGCGUACCAGACCUUUUGGCAUUUUUUGGGACAGCUUCAUUGGUAAACCAGAUUCACCUCGUCAUAUUUUUCUCAUAUUGACAGUUUCUUUGUAAAGUGAAUUUGCUUGUCUUUUUUUCCAAUCACCCUCGCUGCCUGUUUUUGCUUGUGGGAUUCCCCUGUUAAGGUAUUUGUUUUCCAAAGCUAAUAUUUAUUUAUGCUUCCAAUUCCUAAGGUUAAUUCCUCUGUUCCCAGUUUUCAAAUGUGUGCAGCGUGAAACCAAUGUUGAUGACCUCAUGGAAAACACUAGGAGAUUAUAUUUAAACUUUUCUUUUUUUGCAAAACUGCAUAUGCCUACUUUGAUGUUGAUAUCAGAAAAUUUCAAACUAUAUUGCAAUUUUUGUUUGCACAUCCCAUUGCCAAUGAUGCAUUUAUUCCUAUCUGUAUCCCACAGCUCUGAACACCAUGCCGAUAGCUGUCCGUUUCAUUUAUUUUGGCAUAUCCAUGGUUUGUUGCUUAAUUCUUAACACUAUUUUGCCUAGCUUAUUCACUUGUUUUGCCUAAUUUAUAAUAUAUAAUUAUUUUUGUAGUGCAUCGUUGGUUACCACUCCAGCUCGCGCGCCCUGCGUGGAUCAGGCAUCAACGGUCGCAAUUCUGAGGACGCCACCUCCUCUGGUGCUCUGCAUCCAUCUUCCCCACUAAGGUGUGCGUGGUGAGC
Aegilops tauschii subsp. strangulata is the source of this 2914-nucleotide non-coding RNA. Lineage: Eukaryota; Viridiplantae; Streptophyta; Magnoliopsida; Poales; Poaceae. The record is from RefSeq and is a predicted model, not a curated record.